Molecule: ribosomal RNA, 251 nt
Filed under: Vibrio parahaemolyticus
Lineage: Bacteria; Pseudomonadati; Pseudomonadota; Gammaproteobacteria; Vibrionales; Vibrionaceae
Description: partial 23S ribosomal RNA
Rfam family: Bacterial large subunit ribosomal RNA
Source: RNAcentral
AAACGGGUUAAUAUUCCCGUACUUCUUACAAUUGCGAUGGGGGGACGGAGAAGGCUAGGUGGGCCUGGCGACGGUUGUCCAGGUUCAAGUGCGUAGGCUUAAGAGUUAGGUAAAUCCGGCUCUUUUUAAGGCUGAGACACGACGUCGAGCACCUACGGGUGUGAAGUCAUUGAUGCCAUGCUUCCAGGAAAAGCCUCUAAGCUUCAGAUUGUAAGGAAUCGUACCCCAAACCGACACAGGUGGUCGGGUAG